GUAACGCGUGAGAAUCUACCUUCAGGUCUGGGACAACCACUGGAAACGGUGGCUAAUACCGGAUGUGCCGAGAGGUGAAAGGUUAACUGCCUGAAGAUGAGCUCGCGUCUGAUUAGCUAGUAGGUAGUGUAAAGGACUACCUAGGCGACGAUCAGUAGCUGGUCUGAGAGGACGAUCAGCCACACUGGGACUGAGACACGGCCCAGACUCCUACGGGAGGCAGCAGUGGGGAAUUUUCCGCAAUGGGCGAAAGCCUGACGGAGCAAUACCGCGUGAGGGAGGAAGGCUCUUGGGUCGUAAACCUCUUUUCUCAGGGAAGAACACAAUGACGGUACCUGAGGAAUAAGCAUCGGCUAACUCCGUGCCAGCAGCCGCGGUAAUACGGAGGAUGCAAGCGUUAUCCGGAAUGAUUGGGCGUAAAGCGUCCGCAGGUGGCUAUGUAAGUCUGCUGUUAAAGAGUCUAGCUCAACUAGAUAAGAGCAGUGGAAACUACAUGGCUAGAGUGCGUUCGGGGCAGAGGGAAUUCCUGGUGUAGCGGUGAAAUGCGUAGAGAUCAGGAAGAACACCGGUGGCGAAGGCGCUCUGCUAGGCCGCAACUGACACUGAGGGACGAAAGCUAGGGGAGCGAAUGGGAUUAGAUA
Molecule: ribosomal RNA, 641 nt
Filed under: Nostoc sp. 'Peltigera leucophlebia cyanobiont'
Lineage: Bacteria; Bacillati; Cyanobacteriota; Cyanophyceae; Nostocales; Nostocaceae
Description: bacterial SSU rRNA
Rfam family: Bacterial small subunit ribosomal RNA
Source: RNAcentral